AUGGGCUCCUUCCUGUCGUCCUUGUGGACCCCUCCGCCGCUCCCCGGCGACGACCCCGACUCCGCCGUCGUCGCCGUCCACUCCAAGCCCGCCUGGGACCGGCACUGGGAGGCGCACCGGAACGCGUCCAAGCUGAUGGUGAUCGACUUCUCCGCCUCCUGGUGCGGGCCCUGCCGCUUCAUCGAGCCCGCCUUCAAGGAGAUGGCCUCCCGCUUCGCCGACGCGCUCUUCGUCAAGAUCGACGUCGACGAGCUCGCGGAGGUUGCAAAGACAUUCCGCGUAGAGGCGAUGCCGACCUUCGUACUGGUGAAGGGCGGGCAGGAGGUGAGUCGCGUGGUCGGGGCUAAGAAGGAUGAGCUCGACAGGAAGAUCAAGACGUUCAUCUCAUCGUCCUGA
RNAcentral lists this ribosomal RNA (396 nucleotides) under Triticum aestivum (bread wheat). RNAcentral describes it as "partial small subunit ribosomal RNA". The record is from RNAcentral. Lineage: Eukaryota; Viridiplantae; Streptophyta; Magnoliopsida; Poales; Poaceae.